This 253-nucleotide ribosomal RNA is filed under the name uncultured bacterium. Its description in RNAcentral is "partial 16S ribosomal RNA". It matches the Rfam family "Bacterial small subunit ribosomal RNA", at positions 524 to 776 of the family's 1533-position model. The record is from RNAcentral.
UACGUAGGGGGCAAGCGUUGUCCGGAAUCAUUGGGCGUAAAGAGCGCGUAGGCGGCCCUGUAAGUCCGCUGUGAAAGUCAAGGGCUCAACCCUUGGAUGCCGGUGGAUACUGCAGGGCUAGAGUCCGGAAGAGGCGAGUGGAAUUCCUGGUGUAGCGGUGAAAUGCGUAGAUAUCGAGAGGAACACCUGCGGAGAAGGCGGGUUGCUGGGGUGAUACUGACGCUGAGGCGCGAAAGCCAGGGGAGCGAACGGG